This 1224-nucleotide ribosomal RNA is filed under the name Pediococcus ethanolidurans. Its description in RNAcentral is "bacterial SSU rRNA". It matches the Rfam family "Bacterial small subunit ribosomal RNA", at positions 60 to 1238 of the family's 1533-position model. Lineage: Bacteria; Bacillati; Bacillota; Bacilli; Lactobacillales; Lactobacillaceae. The record is from RNAcentral.
AGUCGAACGCACUUUCGUUAAUUGAUUUUGAGAUGCUUGCAUCGAAGAUGAUUUUAACUAUAAAGUGAGUGGCGAACGGGUGAGUAACACGUGGGUAACCUGCCCAGAAGUGGGGGAUAACACCUGGAAACAGAUGCUAAUACCGCAUAACAAAAUUAACCGCAUGGUUGAUUUUUAAAAGAUGGCUUCGGCUAUCACUUCUGGAUGGACCCGCGGCGUAUUAGCUAGUUGGUGAGAUAAAGGCUCACCAAGGCAGUGAUACGUAGCCGACCUGAGAGGGUAAUCGGCCACAUUGGGACUGAGACACGGCCCAGACUCCUACGGGAGGCAGCAGUAGGGAAUCUUCCACAAUGGACGCAAGUCUGAUGGAGCAACGCCGCGUGAGUGAUGAAGGCUUUCGGGUCGUAAAACUCUGUUGUUGGAGAAGAACGUGUGUGAGAGUAACUGCUCAUGCAGUGACGGUAUCCAACCAGAAAGCCACGGCUAACUACGUGCCAGCAGCCGCGGUAAUACGUAGGUGGCAAGCGUUAUCCGGAUUUAUUGGGCGUAAAGCGAGCGCAGGCGGUCUUUUAAGUCUAAUGUGAAAGCCUUCGGCUUAACCGAAGAAGUGCAUUGGAAACUGGGAGACUUGAGUGCAGAAGAGGAGAGUGGAACUCCAUGUGUAGCGGUGAAAUGCGUAGAUAUAUGGAAGAACACCAGUGGCGAAGGCGGCUCUCUGGUCUGCAACUGACGCUGAGGCUCGAAAGCAUGGGUAGCGAACAGGAUUAGAUACCCUGGUAGUCCAUGCCGUAAACGAUGAAUGCUAAGUGUUGGAGGGUUUCCGCCCUUCAGUGCUGCAGCUAACGCAUUAAGCAUUCCGCCUGGGGAGUACGACCGCAAGGUUGAAACUCAAAAGAAUUGACGGGGGCCCGCACAAGCGGUGGAGCAUGUGGUUUAAUUCGAAGCUACGCGAAGAACCUUACCAGGUCUUGACAUCUUCUGCUAACCUAAGAGAUUAGGCGUUCCCUUCGGGGACGGAAUGACAGGUGGUGCAUGGUUGUCGUCAGCUCGUGUCGUGAGAUGUUGGGUUAAGUCCCGCAACGAGCGCAACCCUUAUUAUUAGUUGCCAGCAUUAAGUUGGGCACUCUAGUGAGACUGCCGGUGACAAACCGGAAGAAGGUGGGGACAACGUCAAAUCAUCAUGCCCCUUAUGACCUGGGCUACCACCGUGCUACAAUGGACGGU